This 236-nucleotide long non-coding RNA is filed under the name Glycine max (soybean). Its description in RNAcentral is "long non-coding RNA (GMAX_LNC001646)". Lineage: Eukaryota; Viridiplantae; Streptophyta; Magnoliopsida; Fabales; Fabaceae. The record is from RNAcentral.
CCUGACCUUAUUAUUAAAGAAGAAAUCAAAUCUCUCUGCGAAGCAUAAGAACUACAUUACUAUUUGUUAAAAACUUGUUGUACUUGCAAGGCAACAUUCCUCCAACGUAGUCCUACAGUCCUACCCAUAUAUAUCAUACCCUCUCUCCUCUCUAAAUCUCGAAAUUAACUAGAAACGAGUAAUUAGGUGCACCAUUAAUUUCUCCAGAAGCCAAAUUGUUGUUAGUAGUUUUGAUG